CUGGUUUACCUGGUUAAAUAAAUAAAUAAAAUAAAUGAUGUUUGAGUGAACCUGAAUCCAGAAAAUGAAUGGUGAAGUCGUUUCCGGACACGGUAGACUCCUCCUCCUCACCACCACUAAGGGGCUAAUUGGUGGAAUGUGUUGUCACGUGAUGCAGCCUUCGAAUCCCGUCCCCAAAAGGCAGUAACCUACUGGAAAAGUGCUUCCUACUGAGGUAGGUAGGUCCCUUUUGGAUUGGUUAAAUAAUAACAGUAUGCUACACCAACAUUUGUUUCCAUUCAUACAAAGUGUCAAAAAAAGAUUGUCCAGCACUGGGCGUGAACUCAUGAUGCUCACAGCUGAAGUGUUCUGCUCAGACCACUUGCCUUACGGCAGUUCACAAUGCUCGUUCGCAAUGCUCUAGCAAGUCAUGAAAAUACUUGACGGUAUGAGGUCGGGUUGGUUUGCAGAGCCUUCUCCAAAUCAUAACCUCCUAGGUAUGGUACUGCAUUGUAUAGCCUACAAAACACCGCUUCUAGCUGCCCCCUGGGCGGCAGUUAUACAUUUAAAAUAUUUAUUCAAAUACUCCUGCUGCAGGAUUAUUUUCUUCCUGCGACGAAAUGGGUCAGAUUAGGAUCCGACAUCUGUAGUGCACUACCUUUGACCAGAGCCCUAUCUGACCAGAGUAGUGCAGUACAGAGAGAAUAAGGGGUCAAAUGUGCUGAGGGGUACUAAACACACAGAAACAGCUGUUUGGGUUUUCAUUUUUUUUAAAAUGUAAUCAUUAUUUAACAAAGAUUAUUAUUAAAAAUGAAACAAUGAACAGUCAUUAGUAUGUUUCUUAUUUUUUCUAAGAGUUUAAAGAAAACAAUAUAUAACUUAGACUACAUGCAAUAUGACAAUGAUGUUAUUGAGUAAAACAACUGGUACAAAAAUCCCUUUCAUGAUCCCAUUUCUACAGAGAGUGACUUGUGUAUCCUGAUUUGAUGGUGUGUGUUCUGAUGAAGACCAAUCAUCAACAGUGGGUGGAGGGUUGAAGACCAAUCAUCAACAGAGGGGGGAGGGUUUGUGUUAUUUGAUACACAUAACCUGACACUUUACAUCCAGACAGGUAGGUAACCAGACAGGUAGGUAACCAGACAGGUAGGUAACCAGACACAGGAAAACCAGACAGGUAGGUAACCAGACAGGUAGGUAACCAGACAGGUAGGUAACCAGACUGGCAGGUAACCAGACUGGCAGGUAACCAGACUGGCAGGUAACCAGACUGGUAGGUAACCAGACUGGUAGGUAACCAGACUGGUAGGUAACCAGACUGGUAGGUAACCAGACUGGUAGGUAACCAGACUGGUAGGUAACCAGACUGGUAGGUAACCAGACUGGUAGGUAACCAGACAGGUAGGUAACCAGACAGGUAGGUAACCAGACUGGUAGGUAACCAGACUGGUAGGUAACCAGACUGGUAGGUAACCAGACAGGUAGGUAACUAGACAGGUAGGUAACUAGACAGGUAGGUAACCAGACUGGUAGGUAACCAGACAGGUAGGUAACCAGACUGGUAGGUAACCAGACUGGUAGGUAACCAGACAGGUAGGUAACCAGACAGG
Molecule: long non-coding RNA, 1586 nt
Organism: Coregonus clupeaformis (lake whitefish)
Lineage: Eukaryota; Metazoa; Chordata; Actinopteri; Salmoniformes; Salmonidae
Exons: 2
Source: RefSeq, a predicted model, not a curated record